GCCGCUCGCCCCCCGCCCGUCCCGGGGACACCCGCCCGCCCCGCCCGGGGGAGACGGCGGGGAGAGGCGAAGCCGUGCCCGGACCUUGGAGCAAAGGGGAGCGGGAGAGCUCGGGCCGAUCCUCGGGGAAGGAGUCGAGGAGGCGCUUGAAGAGGCGGCCCAGGUCGGAGUAGCUGCGGUGCAGGUAGAGGAUGUUGCGGUCCGACCACUCGGUGCGGAUCUCGUAGAACUCCUCCUCGUCGCCCCGCCGGCUGAUGAUGAGCCGCCGGAUGCCGUUCACCCAGCAGCCCCGCACGUACAUGUUCACCAGCGAAGUGCCCUCGAACACGGCCGAGGCCAUCCCGCCGCCGGCGGAGGGCGAAGCGAAGCGCCCCGCCCGCCGCCGCCGAGUUAAGGGGAGGAGGAGGAAGAGGAGGAGGAGGAGGAGGACGGGGGGUGCCACCCGGCGCACCCCCCGGGGCGGGGGAGCGGGGCGGCCCGGCCCCUUCUGCUCCCCCCCUCCCCUCCCGCUGCGGGAGGGCUCAGCCCCGCGGGCGGGCGGCGAGCCGGGGGGGGGGGGGGGAACACUGAACCCCGCAGCCCGACUCCCCUCGGCCCUCCUCCCCGCCCGCCCCUCCGCCCGCAGCUCCCCGGAUCCUCCUCUUCCUUCUCGGGACGGUUUCGCAGACGCCGCAGACAUGACGAGGAAAUUUUUUCCCCUCCCAGUGACCCUAGAAGUUUUUCUCUUUUUUUUUUUUUUUUAAACAACUUCCAGCCCGGCCGCCGAGGAAGGAAGCGGGGGAAUACGCAGCGCACACCGCCUCCGGCUGCUGCGUACCGCGCUGUCAGCGCCCAGCACCGCCCCACGGCAGCCCCGGUGCCGGGGGGGGGAGAGGGAAGACGGCGCCUCCGGGGGCAGGGAGUGCCGCGACGCCGGGGAAGAGCAGGACAAAGAGAGGAAGCUGAGGGGCUCGGGGCCUGCUCAGCCCCCACAUGCCCAGGGGGUGCAGAUGUAUGCGUGGAUGAAGGCGAAGCCGACGACAGCGGGUGGUGUGGUGGGAUGUGCCGCCCGGGAUGGUGCCUCUGUGGGCUCCACUGGGAGCAUCCUGUGGGAGAGGGGCUGGGGGCAUGAAUUCCCGGGCUCCUGCCAUGACCCGGGGAAGGGAAGGCUCUACCUUUAUCAGUAACAUCUUUAUCAGUGACACAGAUGAUGGGAUGGAGUGCCCCUUCAGCAAGUUUGCGGACAACACCAAGUUGAGUAGCGCAGUUGGUAUGACAGCAGCAAGGGACGCUAUUCGAAGGGAUCUGAGGAAGCUCGAAAGGUGGGCCCAAGUGAACCUAAUGAGUUUCUAUAAGGCCAAGUGCACAGUAUUACACCUGGGUUGGGGCCAUCCCAGAUUCCACGGAGUGGAAGAAGAAUUCAUUGAGAGCAGCCCUGCCAAGCGGGACUUGGGGGUUCUGGCCGAUGAAAAAUGAGCCAGCAGUGGGAGCUUGCAGUGCGGAAGGCCAACGGUAUCCUGGGCUGCAUUAGAAGAGGGGUGGCCAGCAGGGCGAGGGAAGGGAUUGUGUCCCUCUGCUCUGCCCUUGUGAAGCUCCAUCCGGAGUACUGUGUGCAGGUCUGCAGCUCCCAGGACAAGAAAGACACAGAGCUGUUGAAGCGGGUCCAAAGAAGGACCAUAAAGAUGAUCAAAGGGUUGGGGCACUUCUCUUAAGAAGAAGGUUUGAGGGAUCUGAGUUUGUUCAGCCUGGGGAAGAGAAGGCUCCAGGGAGACCACAGUGCAGCCUUCUGGUACCUAAAGGGAGUUUAUAAACAGGAGAAGGACCUACUUUUUACAUGGUCUGAUAGUGACAGGACAAGGAGGAACAGUUUGAAAGUAAAAAAGAAGACUUAGGUGAGAUGUUAGUAAGAAAUUCUUUACUCAGAGGUUUGUGAGGCAGUGGCACAGCUGCCCAGAGAAGCUGUGGGUGCCCCAUCCCUGGAGGUGUCCAAGGCCAGGUUGGAUGGGACCCUGGGCAGCCUGAGCUGGUGGGUGGCAACUCUUCUCACAGCAGGGGGUUGGAACUGGGUGGGCUUCGAGGCCCCUUCCAAUCUAAGCCAUUCUAUGAUUGUAUGAUUCCUGCCUGCAGCAUUUUGGGAGGUCGGAGGUCAUUGUCCUCACACGACCUAAUAUCAAAUUUGAGUUGAUUCUGGCCAGCUUGACACCCAUGGUUCAUGAGCCCAGGAAUUCACAUGGUAACAAUGCAGGGGCUGUUUAGCCAUUUGGCAAAAUUGAUGGAAGCCAGAGAUGAAAACACUGGGAAAGAUAUUGACCAAUGAAUGGUGUUUGGUCUUUACGGUGAACCAAUUCCAAACCUACAAGUGCAGUUAUGUCUCACUCUCCCUAUUCAAAUACAUGAUUGCGUAUUUCCUUAACUUCUGUGUCAUAAAAUUGGUCUUCUUUCCACCUGAAGCACAAUCAGAUGUAACGAAUGCACGCAAGGAAGCCCUUCUGGAGGCACACACACACCCUGCAGCCUCACUCUGCAGCACCUGCAGCCAUUUCUUUCUUGAAACCUGAAGCUGUAAAACCAGGACUUGAGAUGUUGAAGCAGAUGCCGGGGAGCUCAGAGCCCCCAGACCGCCCUCACUGUGGCUAGGCUGGGCCUUGAGCUGUCCUACAAAGCCUGACAAAGGGAGCAACCUGGGGCACAGGCUCUCCCUGCGUGCGGUGCAGUGUGUGGCACAGGCCCACCCACUUCACCUUGGCUCACCACAAAAGGGUUUCCACAGCCCCAUUGGCCUUGACAUCCCACGUACGGCGGAUGCGGGCCACUUGGAAUAUGCAAUGCGGCUUUGCAGGAAAGGAACCGCUGCAAACCUUUGUCCCGCAGGAGGAUCUUGACACGGUUCAUUUUGUUCGGGAUGGGCUCUUCUAAGCUCUCCUCUUGUGCCAGCACUAGGUGGUCUCCCCAGCUCUUUUGUGCAAAAACAUGAGAAGAUAAAACGCCCUCUCUUCUGAGAGCUGCCGUGGAAACCUGAAAUAACCACGGAUCUGAAAGAAAACUAAUAGGAAGAGAGCUACAAGGCUUGUUGGAGUUCAAAAUGCAUCUGGACAACACUCUCAGGCAUAUGGUCUUAUUUUUGGGUGGUCCUGUGCAGAGGCAGGAGUUGGAUUCUAAGAUCCUUAUGAGUCCCUCCCAGCUUUGGAUAUUCUACAAUUCUAUGAAGGCCAAGCCCCUUUUUAAAAAGAUGUCGGCCUUGGGUUGCUUCUAACUAUGCACAUGGCUUCUGCUUGCUCCUACUGGCAUUUUUUGCCUUUGCAAUGGAAUGAAUGUUGCCAUCAUCAGCCUGCCCACAAGCAUACGCAGCCCUGCAGACCUCCGAGGCUCCCAGCAGCUCACAGAGCUCUGGCUGCAGCUGGGUUCAAUGGGGCUUUGGCUAGGAGUCCUCUACUUCUGCUGGGUAAUGGCUCAAGCAUGGAAUGGCUGGUUCUGUUUUUCCCUUUCAGUCUGACUGGUGCCACCCUUCCAACUCUAUUAUCAAGCAAAAGCCUGUCACGUUUGCACAUGAAAAAUGAGCUUGCACCAAAAUCCUUCCUUCUAAAGGACUUGAAAUUGACAUAGUGAUACCAGAUCCUGAUUUUUAAGAAUAUGAAAAGUAGACAUAUCCCUAUACUUGGUUCUCACCCCGGGUGGCAGGAUACAUACACCUAUGUCCUCUCAUCUAGCUGCUACACGUAGCAGCGUAAUGCCUGCCUGCCACUAAGCCUGGGCACAACUGCCCUUUGUGAAGGUUGGCUUAGUAAUAACAGCCUGUGACUGCGUGGCUCCGUUAAAGUUUUACUGCAAAAUGCUCACACGCAGGAAAGCAGUGUUUGCAUGGGAACAGCAGCGUGCUGAGGAGGAAGGCAGCCCUUGCAAGAUUUUUUGCACCGUGGAAAAUAAAAUGGACGAGCAGUGAGGAUGGGCAGUCACGAGGGACACAGACAUCUUGCAGAUGAAAGUAUCUUUUAUUAUCAGCACCUUCCAUUGUAGCCGUACCAAUUGUAUCUGCCAUGCACUUUUAAAAGUACAUAGAGGGCAUUCAUUUGCAUCUGACUAGUUUUUCAUAUGUAUGCAGCAUGGGCAGAGGCACUGCGCAGCAGCUGCUCUUUAGCAGAAAAUGGGGAACACGUAUUUGCCUUUUUUAAAAAGAAAGGCUGUUAUGGAAAGACAUUUCACUCCCGUUUGCGUGGAUUGUUGGGUUGCUAUUUUCCAUAUUUAAAUUUGGAGACAGAAGUAAUUAGUGGCAAUUGCACCUGAGAGAGUAAAGAUGCUGGCUGAGUAUGUGUUUUAUCCCCCUGCCUUUUUGUGAUCUUAUUGUUUUACUGGAACCGUAAAAUACCACUGGGAUGCAAGCACUCUCCUAAGCACUUAUUAUCUUCAUUUCUACCCAGGAAUUUUUCAGUCUUGCAUUCAGUUUCACGAACCAGUAAUCCUUCAUUUAAAAUGCAUGCAGAAUACACACCACACGCUGCUCAUCAAGCAAGGUGACCCAGGCCCUCUGAAGAUUGAUCCGGCUACAGAUUCACCCAAGUCUUCCAUUGAUGCAGCAAAACUGCCUGAAUUUGAGUGCCAAAUCAUGGGGUUUAAGAAGCUUAAGAGCAGGUAACUUCCCUUCCUUCUUAUGCUGUGAAUUACUGCUAGAAACACAAGUGAAGAUGAACGAAUCUGUGGUUCUAAACUCACGGUGUGCUGUGACGCCUGCUAACCCUGCCUUUUCAGGCUUCUUUACCCAUGCAGUGGUAAUGUCAGGGAUAUGUGCUUUAUUCUGACAUACAAACAUGCUAUGAAGACUUCUGAAAGCCAUCCCCAGUCAGCCUUCUGGGCUGCAGGUGCACACUGCUAACUCACAUCCAACUUUUUUUUGUCCUCAAGUCCUCCUCCGCAGGGCUGCUCUCAAUGAGUUCUUCUCCCAAGCCAUACGCACCUGGGAUUGCCCCGACUCUCUUCCCUGUGCACAGAUAAGCUAGGAGAUCUGGGUGAAUGCUGCAGCAUGGUGGCACGGAGCAGGAAGAAGGAGCCAGGGGCAGAGAGGGAAGGUGUUUCCUUCAGCUGACACUGCCACCAAAACCCAUGCCUUUGGCACAUCUCCGGAAAUAGUCUGAGAAAGGCAGGAGGAGGAAUAACGCCUUCCUGGGGGGGAAAAGGCUUUCUGGUUGUUCAAGUGUUCCCUUGCUCAAGGAAGCUGACUUUCUAUAUUCUUGUAAAUAAGCAAAAACCGUACCCAGGCUCCUGGCUCCAUUAAUAAUUUCUCUUCCUAACGGGAACAAGCAUUCCGGGUUCAAACAUCUCAGCAAGCUGCUUAACAACUCAAAGAGCAGGAACACUUCCCAGACCUGGAGUCACCAAAGACGUCUUGCCUGGCAAAUCCGUAAAAUUGUUCCUGCUAUGAAAGCAUGGCCUGGCCUCUGCAGCAAAGGAUGAAGUCACAUUUCCAGCCUCACAUCUGUGAGCAGGGGAGAACAGAGCCGAUGCGAAGACAUUCAGCUCAUUUUGCUCUGUUGCCAGUGCAGUACUGGAACAAAUAAAAUACCAUUCCUCUUGCUCAACAGUACCAAAAAUCAUUUGGAAAGGAAGGAGAGCUUUAUCUACUUACAUAUACAGUGAAAAGAAGACAGUGAGCUUUGAAGAGCAGCCCACACCUCUGUAAUACCUGCAAGCAAUGGGGAGCGGGCCGCCUUUUUGUUUUCUCCUACCACGUGCAACUUUCUGCUAAUUGUGUGGGUUUUGUUUGUUUUCUAUUUUAAUGAGCAAUCCAAUGUCAAAACAGCUCUUGAUGUUCUAGUCUUUAGCUCACAUGACAAGAUCAUCUGAGCACCACUGGUGAGAUUAAAUGAGCUCCUGAGCGAAGCAUCCUUUCAUGCUCCUGUGGGGCCAUUGGACUGCGCGGGGCUUGAGCACACAGCCAGAGCACUGCCGGGACUGUGUUCUCACUUUGUUCUCCUCUCUCCCCCAGGCUGCUUCUGUGAAGUACUGAGCCCUCCUGGAGCUAAGGGGACUUUAAGAAGUGCUCAAUAUCCUUCCAGCUUUGGCUACCUCAUAAUAUGGCCUUUAAUGUAUGCACAACCUAUUUUUAGAAUCUAUAACGUGUUUUCUGGGUAAAACACUGCUUGAAAGACCCCCUCCUCUCCCUCUGAGUUGACAUUGAAUUUGAUUUAAUAGAAGAGCCUGAAAUUCUUUCCAUUAAAAAGUGCAUUAUAAAUGCUCAAGGAGCUGUAACUGCAGUUGAAAGCUAGGUAUAUUCCUGCCAAAGGGUAAACUAGCUUCAUCUAAUAGGAGAAUAGUUCUAGUGGAACAAUUUACCCUUUAUGAGUGUUUUUCCUAAAGACAACAUAGGAAGUAUGUCUUCACUGUGCUUCCAGCAGAGCAAAAUAAAUUAAAUACACCUGCAGGUUACUGAAAAAAAAAAACCACUGGCAUUAAAAUAUGCAAGACAAUUUAUCUGCAUUUUCAGACUCUUAGCCUACUGAGUCAACCAAGUGGGCAAUAAAAGUCCACAGUGCUAGGAUUUGGUACAGCUUGUAAUGAUCCCGUGUAUGGCCUAAGACUGCACAUUCGUAUUGCACGUGGAAGAAGAAAGCCUUAAAGUGCUCAGCAAUGACAAGCAUUAUAAUUCUGACUCUGCAGAAGGGGAGACAGAGCCCCAGAGCAGAGAAAGCAGCUUGCCUAAGCCUGCAGAAAGAGGCUGUCUUAGAGGUUGAAAUAUUUGCAGCACUUGGCACAUGGACUUGUAUGCAGCCUUUAAAGAACAUACUGUUUUGCGGGGAGGGGAAAUCACAUUGCAUAUUUCCAUCAGAACUAUAAAUGCAAAAGUGAGCAACCUGCACAUGAAGAGGUUGUGGCUUUUUUUUUAAGUAUCAUGGUGCUCAAAUGUUCUUCUACGCUUUUCCUCUUUACUGUGAGUAAAUAUCAUCCAGCCUAAAAACAGUAGGCUGAGCAUAAUAACUUCAAGCUGGGCAUUUUUUUUUUUGCUACUGUUGUUAGCAACUGGAACAAAUUCUUCCUUUGCUCUCCCUGCACCACCCUAGGAGAAGCAACUGGCUUUGUUUUAGAUGCUGACAACUCUGUCUGUGCCCCAAGUAGCGACGAGUCUCACUGAAAGCAUAUGAGCCAUCCAGCUGAACCACAGUACCCUGCUCUUGAACUUCAUUUUAAGGGCACAUAAUGUUAAGGGCUUAGCUAUGUGAAUAUGGAGUCCUUCAACACCCGCUCAAGGCAAGGAGAAGUACUCAAUGAAAGAAAAACAUACGGAAGUUGCAGCAACAAGAAUGCCGAAUAUGAAAGAAAUGCAGGAUUGGAUCCUGAGCCUGAUGAACAGAACAGGAAGGUUCUCUGCAUCUGAGCAUUUUGGAGUGAUGUCACUACACAAACACAGCUUCAUCAGUGCAAAUCUUCAGGGAGCUCUGACUGCACCACUGUACAGGUAUGUGUCAGCACAAUUAAACACAGGUACCAGUUAAACCCAUGCAGAAGUAGGCAGACAAUCAGAGAUUUACAGCUAAAUGCUUCAGCAGGGGCACAAUUUAAGCUUUCUUUUCCUUCCUAGGAAGACUAGGAAGGAUCUAAGGAAGACACAGGCAUCUGCAUAGAUUAAAAAAAAAAGAUGAAGAUCCUGAUAAGAUCUACAGGGAAUAAGAAAACAGACAAGUCUAUGGCUUCAAAAGCACAGCAGCUUUCUUGUCUCUAUUGCUGCACAGAAAAAUCAAUGCCAGGGCUCUGUCUCCUCCUGUCCUGAAAGGAUGCAAGAAACACAAAGGCAAAACAGCCUAACUAACAGCCAUCUGCUUGGGGGAGCUGUCAGCGGGAUGAUUUGCAAUAUGUGAUGGACUGAAGCAAGCAUGUCCUUCUGGCAGGUGGGGCGGCCAUAGGCUUUUGUUCUUGCCUUGGCUGGGCUCACAACACUACCUUUUUUUGAGCUAGAAGUUGAGCAACUUCUCUCUUCUGAGUGGCUUCUCAGUGGGAACACUGAGUGCCAAAAAAACCAAACACCUGUCUCCAAAGUUGUUAGGAACAUAAGUAUUUUGCAUAUAGCAGCUGAGUCAAACAAGGGAAACUCUUUUGACUUCCUCUCCUCCCCAGCUUUCAUUUGAAAAAAGUGUGUGUGGGGGGAGAGUUUCAACUGCCUCCUAAUUGUUCCUCGCUUCCUGUCAAAAGAUCUGAACUAAAUCCCAGGAAACUUGUCAUUCCCUGUCUGAAGCAGAGUUCAGGAGAACAAUAGAUGGCUAAAAUCAAUGGUUCCACAGCAAAGACUUGUUAAAAUGUAAGUUUGCAUUGCUACUCACUAUUGAAUAGCUCUAUUGGAGCUCCUAAUACACUUCCACUGUAAGUUUUGUUGGUGACUUUCAACACACUAAUAUAUCUUUUAGCUUCUCUGAUGGUUGCUAGGAGGAACUAUCUCCUUCUGAAAAAAAAAAUAAAAUAGGUGGAAUAUAAAGGUCAACAAAGAAAUUUACCAUAGUACAACAUAAAAUCAUGGCAGUCUAGUUUAGUACAGAAAAGCUCAUUUUUUCCUCAAAGCCAUCAUUUCUCAUCUUCAUUUCAAUUUCAAAGACUGAUGAUGCCAUAACGCCUAAGAUGGUGAAACAGAUUGGCCCUUGAGUCAUUAGUUAUUCUUCAUAUCCUUCUCAACGCUAUCUCACUAAUUCAACUUGAUUAGAUUAGCAGUUUCUCUUGGUGUAAGCCCCAAACUUGUUUAUCUUGAAGCACUAAAAGUAGCUUCCCAAAGCCAUAUCUGGUAUCCAAAUGGGUUGUCCUGAUAUUCCCAGAAAAAAGACAACCCUUCCUCACUUCCUGAAGCAAUGACAGAGUUGUCUAGUUAAACAGCAUGGCAGAUGGAGCCUGCGCAGCUUACCCUUCAUGUGUUUGCCGCUGCCAGACAGAAACCCCAUUACAGGACUCAGGGAAAUAAAUAUCAGAAUACAAGACAGGUUCUAUUUUCUAUGAAGUUGCCACUGUCUUGUGCUUGCUUCCCACCACUGUCAACACGAAACUAUUAAAAUGCAUAAUUUAUUGCAGGUUGCUUGAAUAUAUCUGAAAAGAUAAUCUCUGUGAAUGUCUCCCUAUUCAAAUCUUGCACAGAUUUCCUCUAGUAGCAGAAGACAUAAAAGAAGUAGGAGAUUUGAGAAAGAUUUACUUGAGAAGAAUGUCAAGUGUCAUAUCUUAUUUUCCUCUCUCAUUGCUGACGCUCAUUUGAAUCUCCCAUUCAGCACUGGGAACAUCCGAGUUAUCAGCUGUUCCCACUCAUUGAGAAAAUUGAAAGAUAAAUUCUGAAAACAGUGAACAGGAUUGGAGGCCCAAAUCCUGUUUGUCUGGUCUUGAGGCAGAACCAACCACACGUUGAAUUAGUUCUUUGCUCCACAAGAAGGCAUGAAGCAUAGAUAAGGCUGUAUAAGCAUCAAUGGCUUACUUGGAGAGAUCCGAUCCAAUCACGGCACAUCAAGUAGAUUAAGAGGCCAAGUGGAACAUAACAUGCUCUGUCCUGGUGAGAACUGGGAGGCGUGAUGACCAAACUCUGAAGAUCAGACUGCUUAAAAGUAGUAUUUCUGCAUAUGAAUAUCUAGUGCCUACCCACAGGCAACCAAGCUUGACCAAGUCAUACAGCUUAAAAAUGUCAAGAUCUCCAAGGAAAUUCUGUGGAAGGAAACCAAGAAGAAAACUCUUAUUGUCCUAUCGCUACAAGGCUUUCUUUCUUCUUCUGUUAAAGCAAUUCAUUUUGUAAAGACUUAACAAGCUAAAUCUUAAAUUCCCCCCUAAAACAGACUUGGAUCCAAGCUACCCUGAGAAUUAGUUGGUAUAACUGAGAUCAGAAUCCAGACUUCCAUUCUUCUUCAUUCCUUACCAGGCAGUCUCUCCUCUCUUUCAAAAUAAAGUGUAGAUUUCAAUUACAGAAUUAAGACUUCAUCCCUACGUAAGUAAUUAGAAGUACAUUUUUUGCAGUGUUGUUUGCCUCAUUAAAGGCACCAUGGUAUUUCUGAAAGGUAAUGAUGGCUCUUACAACUAAUGAUCAUUUAGAAAUAGAAGUGUUCCUGCAGGAUCAACUUCCUGUACGUGUCUCAGUCUCCCAUGGAGAUCAUUAAUAGAAGCAUCGUCACUGCCUUCCACUUCCCAAGGACAGGAAAGUCCAUUGGAAGGACUCCACCACAGUUAUUAGGCCACAGGUUUCUUUUGCUCAGGAAGGGUGGCCGAGCUCUUAACUCCUUAAAUAAAGAUCCUCAGAAAGCUCAAGGGCUUGUCUCUGAGUUGGAGAGGAAAGCUACUGAGGAACAAGCCCUGGCUUCAGUGGCAGCUGGGAGCUGCCUGGCCAUCAGCAGCACUGCUGAGGAGGUGCCAGGAGUGGUGUUGAGCAGCAGGCUAGGCCGGAGACCCAGCACAGCAGCGAGGAAGGCCAGAAGCAGCCCAGGCUGCACCAACAGCACCUCAGGCAGCAUACUGAGGGCAGUGAUUAUUCCCUUUCUCCUGGCACCACAUUAAGACUAGAACAUAGCGUUCAGUGCUGGCCCUUGGGACAAGGAGGAUGAUCACACAGUACAAGUCCAGGCAACUGGCGCAAUGCCAGCGAGGAGAGGCUGAGGGACCAGGGCUUGCUCAGCUUUGAGAAGAGACAGCUUCAAGGACCUGACACCUGAGAAGAGGCAUAGAAGCUCAGGUUGCCCAGACAGGCUGCACAACCUCUAACCUUGAAGAUUUCAAGGAUGUAGCUGGUCAAAGCCCUGAGCAACCUGGUCUCAUUUUAUGCCUAAUCCUGCUCUAGGAAGGAGGUUGGACUAGAGACCUACCGAGGUCUUUUCUAAUCUAAAUCUUUUUAAGAGAUGCAAGAUAUCUGUGCAAACAAGUUAAAAAAGGACAACUCCUUGUCACAGUAGAUCUGGAAAGAUUUAGGAAGCAGAACUUUUCAGAUUCAAUGAACAGAAUCAAAACCAAACAAUGUCCCUUUUCCUCUAUAUAUUAUACUGAACAUUACAUUAAAAUUUAUUCCAGGUACUAUUAUCUGACAUGUAAACUUUUUUUUCUGACUAGUCAUUUCAGAGAUUAACAAGUUUAGGAUUUAGAAGAAAGAAAUCCCUUCUUUCUCCUGGCAGGUAUCCAUAGCAAAGCAAUUAUUAAAGAUUAACUGCUGCUUAAGCUUCUGAAAUAGGACUUUUGCCGGUUUCUUCCAAGCAAAUCCCUGCUUCCCCACUGUACAAACAUAAAACCAGACUAAAUCCAUUUGUGUCAUCCAGAGAUUCUUAUCCUGUCUACCAUGGCCCAAAUCUGAAUAACUGCCAAAGAAAGAAAAUUCUCUGAUAUAUACCACAGGGAUUGAGAAAUGUAUGACCCUCUGAAUCUCAGCAUAAGUGACUGUACAAGAAACAAAAAAGAAAACAAAAGCAAUCAGGCUACGUAUUUUUUAAGAAGAAUGAAAAGUCAAAAGAAAACAGUGAGUGAGAAUCAUUCCUUCUGGCAUAAGACACAAGUAGGAAGCUUCAUAACACGAAGUCCUGAAAUUUACUUGCUAUAUAAAUUGGUCAAAGGGGUCUGUGGGACCUGAGCCAGGGAAGUGUGCUCCAUGAGGACUUCUAAAGUCCUGUCAACUACAUAAGAAUAGCCACAAAAUGCCUGAAGUGCUUAUUACUGCAUUUUCCAUCAAAGGGCCAGACAAGGUACUGCUUUACAGAAAUGAAAGGAGUCAGAAACCGCUUGCGAGUCAUACAGCUGCAUUAACUCAUUAGACAUUGAAAACCAUGGGCCUGGUUUAAUUCUUCAUAAUGACUAGACUGACGAUGACCAACUUGAGAAAGACGUUCAGGAUCUGGUUCCACAUGAAGAAAAGCUUUAACUAAAGGCCGGGCACAUUUUAGCCUUUUGAUCUAGACAGACAGUCUUUAUGGCAACUUCUAGGGUGAAAAGUAAGAUCUGUGCUGAAAACCUACCUCAUUUCAUGCUUUGAAAUGGUACACUUCUGUUUUCAAAAUAAUUUCCUCUCCUCCUUGGGUAAUGCAUGUCUAAAUAUUCUUUCAUAGGUAUCUGUAUUUUAAAAAGCAUUCCAGAAUGAAUUCUUCUCCCCUGACAGGAAAAAUGCUUUUGGGAAUUUGUAGGAGGAUUAGAAAUUUAACAACAUGCAGAGUAAAAUAUUAAAAUCACAUCAUGCCUUUUAAGAAACCAAACUUUCAAAAAGUGGCAUUUUCAUUUGUUCUGGUCCUUGGAAGUUCUGUGAUGGAAAGCCCUGCCCAUGCAUUUUCUUGCUUUGAAGUCCUAACACAUUUGUAAAAUAGGAAAAAAUUGAAUCUGGAACAUUGGGUCUGUAAUUACAUAUCAUCAUACAAAAUAAGGGGGAAUAAAAAGCACAUGCUUCCUUGAGCUGUAAUGACCAUGCCCAUAAUGGAGAUGGUAAAGCCUCAGGAUAAAAUUCUAGCUUUGCUGAAGUUGACACACAAGAUUUCACCCUCAGAAUUGCCCUCUGAGGACAGGACCCUUUCCUUGUAUUGGUUUAGGUCUGUUAGUUUUAAUGAUGGCCUGCAAUGACAACUCCCACAUACCAAAAGGAAAAAAAAGCCUGGGUGUGCAAAAUCAUUUGCCUCACACAAAGAAGAAACUUUCCUUAAUAACAUGGACAUCAUUAAUAGAUAAUUGAUCUCUGUACUUUCAAGAGCAAAUUUCAAUUCCAGGUAAUAUUUAGCAGCCUGUAAUUACAAUAAGUUGGCAAAGUCUUUAUUUUUAAAGUAACGAAGGGAUAUACGUAUUUUUUUCCUUCAGAGAAAAUAUUUUUCUUCGUAACCAAAAUAAGAAAUUCAUUACAUGUACAAGCUGCUUUCUUUUCAGGUGUGUGUUGUGUGUCUCUAGCAUACUACUCUAGACAGGGAAAGAUAUUCCAGUAACAGAUCUAGUGUUUAUAGUGGGGGAAGAAGGCCACUGAUCACAAAAGGUUGCAUGCAACAAAGAUUAAGAAUAGUAUUUUUCACAUGUCACGAGAUUCUAAGACAUGGAAGAAAGAACUACUAGCAAACAGAAAGUUUAUUUCUCUCCUUUUCUGGAAUGCUUUCAGCAUGAAUUUUUAGGGUUGCUACUAACAGUAAAUGGCAGAUAGAAAAAAAAGAAUAGCAUUUAAAAAGAAAUCUCUGCUCAUUUUUUGCUUGUCUACAAUAAAUGUAUUGCACAAAAAGGAAGACAAACGAAAUCAAAAGAGACUGUUUCUCUUGCAGCAGUAGUAAGCAGGAGAAAAGCAGCAAUCACUCGCGUACCAUCCCAAAACACAAAGUAAUAGCAGCUCUCAACUGCAUUUAAGGGCAAUUUCAUCUUCACUACACCGAUUCACGAAAGGUAAAUGCUUACAUGAAUGGUGCCUUGUUACAGCAUACUGAAUAGGCACACAUAGUGACACACUGAAGAUCGGUGAUCCAGGUCAGGCAUGAUAUGUAUUUACCAGUAAGUUCAAGAGGAAGCACAUUUUAACACCACUGCUAGUCCUAUCAUGUAUAUUUUGUUAACCAUUCAUACCUUGCUUUCAAAUUAUGUUUUGCAUCCUAUCUUUAAGCCUGUAAUUCUGGUUGGAUCAGAUCAUUUAACACAGAUUAUUACCAAGACUUGCCCAGAAGUAACACAGUUUUGGAAAAGCUCUGUUGAUGUGUCUCAGGUCAUUCCUUCCUGCCUCCUCCUCGUUUCUGGUAUAGAUCUAUAACUACAACCCAAGAGUACCCUUUGACAUACGGCAUGUUGUAUAAUAAAGUUCACUGCAGUUGA
This is a long non-coding RNA of Gallus gallus (chicken), 13716 nucleotides long. RefSeq lists it as uncharacterized. The record is from RefSeq and is a predicted model, not a curated record. The transcript has 2 exons. Lineage: Eukaryota; Metazoa; Chordata; Aves; Galliformes; Phasianidae.